Heterocephalus glaber (naked mole-rat) is the source of this 676-nucleotide long non-coding RNA. The record is from Ensembl. Lineage: Eukaryota; Metazoa; Chordata; Mammalia; Rodentia; Bathyergidae.
GUGACGGGAGCCGCCGGGCGCUGAGGCCGCGGGAGGGUUGGGGGCUGCGGCCUGAGUGGGAGAGGGGAACAGGUCAGCGCCGACCCUGAGCCUCGGCAAACACCCAUGGUUCCAGACGUCCGAAGACACAGAAAUGCUCAAGAUACGCACAGAGGAGCCAGGCGUGGUGGAGCACACCUAUAACCCCACUACUUGGGAGGCUGGGCCUGAAGGAUCAUGUGUUUGAGGCCAUUUCGAGCUACAUACCGAGUUCAAGUUACAGGCCCAACAAUAUCUGUACCAGGCUGGGAGGUGUGAUCACCCAGUGGCAGAGUGCUUGCCUAGCCUGCCUAACGCCCUGCGUUGGGAUCCCCAGCUUCCGAAAACAAAAAGAUGGCUUAUUGUUGGUUUCCUCUCCCACAGGCCUGACCACUGCAGGUAUGCCCCUGAGCCUCACCUUGGCCCAAGAUUUCCCUGGAUAUAGCCACUUGACUGCAGUAGUCUCGGACACCUAGGACUCUGAACACCCCUGAUGAAUUUCCCUACAGCUCCCGCCUGUCCUCUAAAGAACUCUAGAUGACAAACUUCUUCCACCAUAUUUCUGGGAACUCUGCUUCUCCCAGGGUCCUCAGUUAUUAGAAGCAGCAGUGCCUGAGGCAGAGCAAGGACAAGCAUUUCUAGCGGGCCCCCACAGCCA